GAUCAUGGCUCAGAGUGAACGACUGGCGGCGUGCGUUAACACAUGCAAGUCGAACGAGAACGGGCUAUAGCUUGCUAUAGUUGUCAGCUAAGUGGCGCACGGGUGAGUAAUGUAUAGGUAAUAUGCCUCUUACUAAGGGAUAACAAAUGGAAACGUUUGCUAAUACCUUAUACUCCUUAUUAACAGAAGUUAAUAAGGGAAAGAUUUAUUGGUAAGAGAUUAGCCUGUAUUGUAUCAGUUAGUUGGUGGGGUAAUGGCUUACCAAGACUAUGACACAUAACUGGUUUGAGAGGAUGAUCAGUCACACUGGAACUGAGACACGGUCCAGACUCCUACGGGAGGCAGCAGUGGGGAAUAUUGCACAAUGGACGAAAGUCUGAUGCAGCAACGCCGCGUGGAGGAUGACACAUUUCGGUGCGUAAACUCCUUUUAUAUGAGAAGAUAAUGACGGUAUUAUAUGAAUAAGCACCGGCUAACUCCGUG
RNAcentral lists this ribosomal RNA (483 nucleotides) under uncultured bacterium. RNAcentral's name for it is "bacterial SSU rRNA". It matches the Rfam family "Bacterial small subunit ribosomal RNA", at positions 15 to 507 of the family's 1533-position model. The record is from RNAcentral.